UACGUAGGGUGCAAGCGUUGUCCGGAAUUAUUGGGCGUAAAGAGCUCGUAGGCGGCUUGUUGCGUCGACCGUGAAAACCCGGGGCUCAACUUCGGGCUUGCGGUCGAUACGGGCGGGCUAGAGUUCGGUAGGGGAGACUGGAAUUCCUGGUGUAGCGGUGAAAUGCGCAGAUAUCAGGAAGAACACCUAUGGCGAAGGCAGCUCUCUGGGACGGUACUGACGCUGAGACGCGAAAGCGUGGGGAGCGAACAGG
This 253-nucleotide ribosomal RNA is filed under the name uncultured bacterium. RNAcentral's name for it is "partial 16S ribosomal RNA". It matches the Rfam family "Bacterial small subunit ribosomal RNA", at positions 524 to 776 of the family's 1533-position model. The record is from RNAcentral.